UACAGAGGUCCCAAGCGUUAUCCGGAUUUACUGGGCGUAAAGGGCGUGCAGGUGGUCUGUUAAGUGGUGCGUGAAAGCGCUCGGCUCAACCGGGCGAGGCCGUGCCAAACUGGGAGACUAGAAACAGGCAGAGGCAAGUGGAAUUCGGGGUGUAGUGGUGAAAUGCGUAGAGAUCCCGAGGAACUCCUGUGGCGAAGGCGACUUGCUGGGCCUGCUUUGACACUCAGACGCGAAAGCAUGGGGAGCGAACGGG
This 253-nucleotide ribosomal RNA is filed under the name uncultured bacterium. Its description in RNAcentral is "partial 16S ribosomal RNA". It matches the Rfam family "Bacterial small subunit ribosomal RNA", at positions 524 to 776 of the family's 1533-position model. The record is from RNAcentral.